AACGACAACGGGCGAGCAGCGGGGUGAAGACGGGGCGAGCAAGCGUUGUACGGAUUAACUGGGCGUAAAGGGGCGGUAGGAGGGCAUCGAAAGUCAGUUGUGAAAGAUCUGGGAUGAACCCAGAAAGGGCAACUGAGGCUGCGGGGCUAGAGUGAAGAAGGGGGAACUGGAAUGCUCGGUGUAGCGGGGAAAUGCGUAGAUAUCGAGAGGAACACCUGCGGCGAAGGCGGGUUGCUGGGCUGACACUGACGCUGAUGCGCGAAAGCUAGGGGAGCGAACGGGAUUAGAUACCCGGGUAGUC
Molecule: ribosomal RNA, 301 nt
Filed under: uncultured bacterium
Lineage: Bacteria
Description: bacterial SSU rRNA
Rfam family: Bacterial small subunit ribosomal RNA
Source: RNAcentral